This is a long non-coding RNA of Raphanus sativus (radish), 200 nucleotides long. RefSeq lists it as uncharacterized. Lineage: Eukaryota; Viridiplantae; Streptophyta; Magnoliopsida; Brassicales; Brassicaceae. The record is from RefSeq and is a predicted model, not a curated record. The transcript is spliced from 2 exons.
AGCUCUAACUAAUUAAUCUUGCCGGAGUCGUGUAUCUUCGCCGUGAAGGACGGACGUAGAAUCUCUGUGUGGUGAAUCUCCGGGACGUAAUAUAGUGGUUUUGAGCUGUAGUCGACCAAUUCAUCCACUUAGCCAUGGGGGUCGAUCCAUUCAAACUACGGAGACGUCGGAAACGGAGAACGAAAUGUUUGAAAUACAAA